AUCCAGUAGACGUGUCCCAAAUAGGACGAAACAUGCAUUCUGGAU
Non-coding RNA from Schistosoma mansoni, 45 nucleotides. Lineage: Eukaryota; Metazoa; Platyhelminthes; Trematoda; Strigeidida; Schistosomatidae. The record is from Rfam.